RNAcentral lists this ribosomal RNA (511 nucleotides) under uncultured organism. Its description in RNAcentral is "SSU rRNA". It matches the Rfam family "Bacterial small subunit ribosomal RNA", at positions 10 to 509 of the family's 1533-position model. The record is from RNAcentral.
AGUUUGAUCCUGGCUCAGGAUGAACGCUAGCUACAGGCUUAACACAUGCAAGUCGAGGGGCAUCAUGAAGUUUGCUUGCAAACUUUGAUGGCGACCGGCGCACGGGUGAGUAACGCGUAUCCAACCUGUCCACCAGUAGGGCACAGCCCGGUGAAAGCCGGAUUAAUUCCCUAUGUUCUCCGAUGCAGGCAUCUAAGUUGGAGUAAAGGUAUAUCCGCUGGUGGUUGGGGAUGCGUCUGAUUAGGUAGUAGGCGGGGUAACGGCCCACCUAGCCGACGAUCAGUAGGGGUUCUGAGAGGAAGGUCCCCCACACUGGAACUGAGACACGGUCCAGACUCCUACGGGAGGCAGCAGUGAGGAAUAUUGGUCAAUGGGCGGGAGCCUGAACCAGCCAAGUAGCGUGCAGGACGACGGCCCUAUGGGUUGUAAACUGCUUUUAUAGGGGAAUAAAGUGAGGUACGUGUACCUUUUUGUAUGUACCCUGUGAAUAAGGACCGGCUAAUUCCGUGCC